GUGCUCGAUUCGGCAGCACAUAUACUAAAAUUGGAACAACACAAAGAUUAGCAUGGCCCGUGCGCAAGGAUGACACGCAAAUUCACAAAGCGUGCCAUAUUUUA
Molecule: small nuclear RNA, 104 nt
Organism: Suncus etruscus (white-toothed pygmy shrew)
Lineage: Eukaryota; Metazoa; Chordata; Mammalia; Eulipotyphla; Soricidae
Source: RefSeq, a predicted model, not a curated record